This 73-nucleotide transfer RNA is filed under the name Stegodyphus mimosarum. It matches the Rfam family "tRNA". Rfam says of the family: Transfer RNA (tRNA) molecules are approximately 80 nucleotides in length. Their secondary structure includes four short double-helical elements and three loops (D, anti-codon, and T loops). Further hydrogen bonds mediate the characteristic L-shaped molecular structure. tRNAs have two regions of fundamental functional importance: the anti-codon, which is responsible for specific mRNA codon recognition, and the 3' end, to which the tRNAs corresponding amino acid is attached (by aminoacyl-tRNA synthetases). tRNAs cope with the degeneracy of the genetic code in two manners: having more than one tRNA (with a specific anti-codon) for a particular amino acid; and 'wobble' base-pairing, i.e. permitting non-standard base-pairing at the 3rd anti-codon position. Lineage: Eukaryota; Metazoa; Arthropoda; Arachnida; Araneae; Eresidae. The record is from Rfam by way of RNAcentral.
GCCUUCGUGGUGUAGUGGUCAGCACGCUCGGCGCGUAUUCGAGAGGUCCGUGGUUCGAGUCCCGGCCAGGGCA